AUUGAACGCUGGCGGCAGGCCUAACACAUGCAAGUCGAACGAGUGGCGGACGGGUGAGUAAUGUCUGGGAAACUGCCCGAUGGAGGGGGAUAACUACUGGAAACGGUAGCUAAUACCGCAUACCAUCGGAUGUGCCCAGAGGGGAUUAGCUAGUAGGUGGGGUAAUGUCUCACCUAGGCGACGAUCCCUAGCUGGUAUGAGAGGAUGACCAGCCACACGGGAACUGAGACACGUGCCAGACUCCUACGGGAGGCAGCAGUGGGGAAUAUUGCACAAUUGGCGCAAGCCUGAUGCAGCCAUGCCGCGUGUAUGAAGAAGGCCUGCGGGUUGUAAAGUACUUUCAGCGAGGAGGCGUUACUCGCAGAAGAAGCACCGGCUAACUCCGUGCCAGCCGCCGCGGUAAUAC
Molecule: ribosomal RNA, 406 nt
Filed under: uncultured bacterium
Lineage: Bacteria
Description: partial 16S ribosomal RNA
Rfam family: Bacterial small subunit ribosomal RNA
Source: RNAcentral